This 426-nucleotide long non-coding RNA is filed under the name Coffea arabica (coffee). RNAcentral describes it as "long non-coding RNA (CARA_LNC006344)". Lineage: Eukaryota; Viridiplantae; Streptophyta; Magnoliopsida; Gentianales; Rubiaceae. The record is from RNAcentral.
AACAGGAUGCCACAUAAAUCCAAUUUUCCCUGAGGAUGCAGCAAAAGUGGUAAGGGAAGUACAACUUUGAAGUUAAUCAUCGGAAGUUUCAAGUAGUAUAUUGGGGAUGCGGAUGCAGCACUUUCACUGAGAAACAAGCAUGUAUAGAGCGUUAACAAAACAAGCAUGUAUAGAGCGUUAACAAAAUAAUCUUACUACUCUUCUUGAGUGCCAUUUGGUGCUCAGAGUUGGUAUGUUAGAAAUUGGUCUGAACUGCCUGCCUAACUCCUGAUAUAAAAGAUCGCUGAGAUGGAUUUGAUUUUUCUUUGCUCUCCUGUUACUCGUUCCCUUUCAGAAAGGAAAUAAUUUAGGGUAGGAAAAACAACUCAAUGCCUGAUAAUGCAUGUAGCAUGGUUUUUGCUGCUUUGGAUUUUUUCAAAAAAAAAA